This 466-nucleotide ribosomal RNA is filed under the name uncultured bacterium. RNAcentral's name for it is "partial 16S ribosomal RNA". It matches the Rfam family "Bacterial small subunit ribosomal RNA", at positions 28 to 507 of the family's 1533-position model. The record is from RNAcentral.
GAUGAACGCUGGCGGCGUGCUUAACACAUGCAAGUCGAACGGAAAGGCCCAAGCUUGCUUGGGUACUCGAGUGGCGAACGGGUGAGUAACACGUGGGUGAUCUGCCCUGCACUUCGGGAUAAGCCUGGGAAACUGGGUCUAAUACCGGAUAGGACCACAUUUUGGAUGGUGUGGUGGAAAGUUUUUCGGUGUGGGAUGAGCUCGCGGCCUAUCAGCUUGUUGGUGGGGUAAUGGCCUACCAAGGCGUCGACGGGUAGCCGGCCUGAGAGGGUGUACGGCCACAUUGGGACUGAGAUACGGCCCAGACUCCUACGGGAGGCAGCAGUGGGGAAUAUUGCACAAUGGGCGCAAGCCUGAUGCAGCGACGCCGCGUGGGGGAGGACGGCCUUCGGGUUGUAAACUCCUUUCGCUAGGGACCAAGCGUUAUGUGACGGUACCUGGAGAAGAAGCACCGGCUAACUACGUG